Molecule: transfer RNA, 73 nt
Filed under: Ascaphus truei (coastal tailed frog)
Lineage: Eukaryota; Metazoa; Chordata; Amphibia; Anura; Ascaphidae
Description: transfer RNA-Asn
Rfam family: tRNA
About the family: Transfer RNA (tRNA) molecules are approximately 80 nucleotides in length.
Source: RNAcentral
UAGAAUGAAGCUCGCUGGAUAGAGUGUUUAGCUGUUAACUAAAGUGUCGUGGGAUCAAGGCCCAUCUUUCUAG